Molecule: long non-coding RNA, 201 nt
Filed under: Pan troglodytes (chimpanzee)
Lineage: Eukaryota; Metazoa; Chordata; Mammalia; Primates; Hominidae
Description: long non-coding RNA NONPTRT007479
Source: RNAcentral
UCUAAGAAUUUUAAAUUUGUGUGCUUUACAUUUAGGUCUUUUAUCCAUUUUAAGUCAAUUUUUGUGAAAGCAGAAAGUCUGUUUCUCAAUUUAUUUUUUAUAUGUGGAUUCACUUUAUUAUUUUUCAAAAGUUAUCUUAAAGCGUUACAUCAAAAAUUCUGGGGGAAAAAAAUCUUUGACUCUAAUACUAGUCUCCUUUAU